This 483-nucleotide ribosomal RNA is filed under the name uncultured bacterium. RNAcentral's name for it is "bacterial SSU rRNA". It matches the Rfam family "Bacterial small subunit ribosomal RNA", at positions 64 to 562 of the family's 1533-position model. The record is from RNAcentral.
GAGCGAUGAAGUUCUUCGGAAAUGGAUUAGCGGCGAACGGGUGAGGAACACGUGAAGAAUCUGCCCUCCACUUUGGGAUAACACCGGGAAACCGGUGCUAAUACCGAAUAUUGAAACAUAAGUGGCAUCACUGAGUUUUGAAAGAAUUUCGGUGGAGGAUGACUUCGCGGCCUAUCAGCUAGUUGGUGAGGUAAUGGCUCACCAAGGCAACGACGGGUAGCCGGCCUGAGAGGGCGACCGGCCACACUGGGACUGAGACACGGCCCAGACUCCUACGGGAGGCAGCAGUGGGGAAUAUUGGGCAAUGGAGGAAACUCUGACCCAGCGACGCCGCGUGCGGGAUGAAGGCCUUCGGGUUGUAAACCGCUUUCAGUAGGGAAGAAGCGAAAGUGACGGUACCUACAAAAGAAGCACCGGCUAACUAUGUGCCAGCAGCCGCGGUAAUACAUAGGGUGCAAGCGUUGUCCGGAAUUAUUGGGCGUA